AAAGCCUAGACAGCUUGUGUGAAGAAUGCAGUUAGUGGGCUUUCUGCCUCCGCUGCUGCCAUGGCGCCUGUGAAAAAGCUUGUGGCGAAGGGGGGCAAAAAAAAGAAGCAAGUUCUGAAGUUUACCCUUGACUGCACCCACCCUGUAGAAGAUGGAAUCAUGGAUGCUGCCAAUUUUGAGCAGUUUCUUCGAGAGAGAAUCAAAGUGAAUGGAAAAGCUGGGAAUCUCGGUGGAGGGGUUGUAACAAUUGAAAGGAGCAAAAGCAAGAUUACUGUAACUUCUGAGGUGCCUUUUUCCAAAAGGUAUUUGAAAUAUCUCACCAAAAAAUAUUUGAAGAAGAAUAAUCUCUGUGACUGGUUGCGCGUAGUUGCUAACAGCAAAGAGAGUUACGAGUUGCGUUACUUCCAGAUUUACCAAGACGAGGAAGAGGAGGAAGAUGAGGAUUAAAACUCAUUUAUCUGGAAUAUUUUGUAUGAGUUCUUAAAUAAAACUUGGGAACCAAAAAAAAAAAAAAGAA
Callorhinus ursinus (northern fur seal) is the source of this 517-nucleotide non-coding RNA. The record is from RefSeq and is a predicted model, not a curated record. NCBI's taxonomy places the organism in Eukaryota, Metazoa, Chordata, Mammalia, Carnivora, Otariidae.